CCUACGGGAGGCAGCAGUGAGGAAUAUUGGUCAAUGGACGGAAGUCUGAACCAGCCAUGCCGCGUGCAGGAAGACGGCUCUAUGAGUUGUAAACUGCUUUUGUACAAGGGUAAACCUGAAUACGUGUAUUCAGCUGAAAGUACUGUACGAAUAAGGAUCGGCUAACUCCGUGCCAGCAGCCGCGGUAAUACGGAGGAUCCAAGCGUUAUCCGGAUUUAUUGGGUUUAAAGGGUGCGUAGGCGGAUUGAUAAGUUAGAGGUGAAAUGUCCGAGCUCAACUCGGGAACUGCCUCUAAUACUGUUGAUCUAGAGAGUAGAUGCGGUAGGCGGAAUGUAUGGUGUAGCGGUGAAAUGCUUAGAGAUCAUACAGAACACCGAUUGCGAAGGCAGCUUACCAAUCUAUAUCUGACGUUGAGGCACGAAAGCGUGGGGA
Molecule: ribosomal RNA, 432 nt
Filed under: uncultured bacterium
Lineage: Bacteria
Description: bacterial SSU rRNA
Rfam family: Bacterial small subunit ribosomal RNA
Source: RNAcentral